Molecule: unclassified non-coding RNA, 142 nt
Organism: Aotus nancymaae (Ma's night monkey)
Lineage: Eukaryota; Metazoa; Chordata; Mammalia; Primates; Aotidae
Gene: 7SK
Rfam family: 7SK RNA
About the family: 7SK was discovered as an abundant small nuclear RNA in the mid-70s but a possible function has only recently been suggested. Two independent studies have found that 7SK RNA binds the CDK9/cyclin T complex (known as elongation factor P-TEFb). P-TEFb activates transcription by phosphorylating the C-terminal domain of RNA polymerase II.
Source: Ensembl
CCACUCCAUUUGCUGUGCGCUCAGUUGAAGAGGACGACCAUACCUGAUAGAGGAGGAUCGGUCCUUGGUCAAGGGUAUAUGAAUAGCUGUCCUCCUCUGCUGGAACUUUUAGACAAGCUCUCAAGAAGCUAGGACUGUUACC